Molecule: long non-coding RNA, 1184 nt
Filed under: Citrus sinensis (sweet orange)
Lineage: Eukaryota; Viridiplantae; Streptophyta; Magnoliopsida; Sapindales; Rutaceae
Description: long non-coding RNA (CSIN_LNC003711)
Source: RNAcentral
GAAUUACAAUCACAACGACUCACUCAGUCACACACACCAGCCCUAACCCUACCAAAGCUAUCAAACGCCAAUGCCGCUGCCGCUGUCAAAUCGAUUCAAGUGCUCCGGCGCUGAGUCUAGCCGUCCUUGAGCCGAUUUGCUUCCUUUUUCUGCCGCCGCUGUCAAUCUCUGCCAUUUUUGAGCCGAUUCACUUCCGCAAAACAGCUGCUGUCAUCUCUGCCGACAUUGCCUCUGUGUUCGUUCACCGUCAGAUGCAGUGUUAUUGUGGUGACACUGCCUCCGCUAUCAAGUCAGUUCAAAUUUUCUGGGUGCUAUCUCGAAAAUGUUGGUGAGAUUGUUGCCAAUGAUAUUCUAAAAUUUUGAAUUCAGGGUUAUUGUUUCACCACUGUGAGUUGCUUUCUCCAAUUUUGCAAUUCUUUCCUCUUAAUUUGCUUUGAAAUAUUUGCUCGUUGGAUUUAUUUCCUCUUCAUUUAUAAUCGAUUUGGUGAUUUUGUGUUGUGUAGCUUGUACCUUAGUCUCUCCUUUUCCUUUCAUAAUAUUAUAAAAUAUGUCGUGCACUUUGGCCUUUCGUUUCUUGAUUUUCUUGGUUAAUGAAUUUGGAAAAAGAGUGAAUUAUGGGUAAGGGGAUAGAAAAUCACAUUGACAGAAAAGAGGACUGAAACGCCUUGAUUUUUACUAAGUGGAGUUUACUUAUUUGUUAAAAAAAUAAAUUUUAAAUUAUUAAUGAUUUAAUUGUCUUAUGCUUAUUAUAUUGUUCGUAAAAUUUUUGUUACAAGUCCAGCCCAUGAACCUCUUUAUGUUUUAGCAUUUCUUUAUUUAUUUACGAAACGAAAACCAGCGUUCGAAUUCAAAAGGAACAAAACAGAAAAAGGAAGAAAGGAAACAAGAGGAUAACAGGACGUGAGAGAGGAGAAGAGGGAGAAAGAAGAGAAAGACAAGAGAGGCUAGGUGAAGGAUUUGGAUUUAAAGAGAGAGAAUUCAAUUUCAGAGGAAAAUAUUAAAUAUCUGGCUUUUUAAAUUUGUAAGCCUUAUUCAAUUUCAGAGCAAAAUAUUAAAUAUCUGGCUUUUUAAAUUUGUAAGCCUUCUUUCUCAGUUCACUUUAUUCUUUUAUUUUUCUUCAAAAUUCUUGUUUAAAUUGGCAUGCUUGUUGAUGUUGUUAAGUCAUUUCUAAAUUAACUUGCAUA